UGCAAGUCGAGCGGAAAGGCCCUUCGGGGUACUCGAGCGGCGAACGGGUGAGUAACACGUGAGCAACCUGCCCUAGGCUUUGGGAUAACCCCGGGAAACCGGGGCUAAUACCGAAUAGGACCUGGCCUCGCAUGAGGCUGGGUGGAAAGUUUUUCGGCCUGGGAUGGGCUCGCGGCCUAUCAGCUUGUUGGUGGGGUGAUGGCCUACCAAGGCGACGACGGGUAGCCGGCCUGAGAGGGCGACCGGCCACACUGGGACUGAGACACGGCCCAGACUCCUACGGGAGGCAGCAGUGGGGAAUAUUGCACAAUGGGCGGAAGCCUGAUGCAGCGACGCCGCGUGAGGGAUGACGGCCUUCGGGUUGUAAACCUCUUUCAGCAGGGACGAAGCGUAAGUGACGGUACCUGCAGAAGAAGCGCCGGCCAACUACGUGCCAGCAGCCGCGGUAAGACGUAGGGCGCGAGCGUUGUCCGGAUUUAUUGGGCGUAAAGAGCUCGUAGGCGGCUUGUCGCGUCGACUGUGAAAACCCGCAGCUCAACUGCGGGCCUGCAGUCGAUACGGGCAGGCUAGAGUUCGGUAGGGGAGACUGGAAUUCCUGGUGUAGCGGUGAAAUGCGCAGAUAUCAGGAGGAACACCGGUGGCGAAGGCGGGUCUCUGGGCCGAUACUGACGCUGAGGAGCGAAAGCG
RNAcentral lists this ribosomal RNA (687 nucleotides) under Micromonospora sp. YIM 63593. Its description in RNAcentral is "bacterial SSU rRNA". It matches the Rfam family "Bacterial small subunit ribosomal RNA", at positions 56 to 761 of the family's 1533-position model. The record is from RNAcentral. Lineage: Bacteria; Bacillati; Actinomycetota; Actinomycetes; Micromonosporales; Micromonosporaceae.